GAGGCACAUAACCAAUCAAAAGGUUUGUGCAUGAAAACCCAAUAUCUACGGUCCACUACUCCAAAAAGAUUUCUGCAAUGUUACACUU
Molecule: long non-coding RNA, 88 nt
Organism: Carassius auratus (goldfish)
Lineage: Eukaryota; Metazoa; Chordata; Actinopteri; Cypriniformes; Cyprinidae
Exons: 3
Source: RefSeq, a predicted model, not a curated record